AGUGGUUUCGCCACUUGCUGCGCAAGCGCAAGGACUCGAGUUCGAUCCCCGCGCUGAAAACACCGAAUCAGCGGAAGGACGCUCCCCCACCGCCAUCCCAAGCUCCUAGGGCAGAGAAGGCUCAUUUGAGAGAAGUGGUGAAAAAUAAUAUUUUCACAGUCAGAUGAGCCUGUGUUGGAAAUAUGAUCACUGGUGGUGAGAUGUAGCCAGCAGUUGCACUGGAAGGUAAAGUCUAUUGACCAUUUACUGCCCUGCAGUUUUAUGGGAAGGUACAUCAGAAGAUGUGACUGGAAAACACAACAUUACUAAGGAAAGGACUCAAAACCUUGCAUAGAAGAACUCAGAGGAUCCUGGCUUUCUUCUUUCUCAACUACAUUGUAGCUAAAAAACACCCUGCACAACUGGAACAGCCAGCUAACCCUCCAGAGGGCUCUUUGGAUCAUGACAUCCAUCAUGUCUGUCUGUUGCCAUACUGCAAUGAAACAUGGAGCAUGCUAUUAUUCCCUUUUUACAGAGGGGGAGAUCAAGCCAUACUUGACUACAGAAUGUAGACUAGAUGUCCCCCAAAAGCCCCAUGUGGUCAUAGAUGGGACUUUUUGAAGGGGGCUGGAACUGGAGUCUGUAUGCUGGAAUCAAGGAUGUGAUGCUGGCAUCGAUUCAUGCUGCAAUGAUAGGAUUAAGGCUUCCUGCCCUGGUUGUGAAUGCUACGGGGGCCUAAAGGUAGGUAGCCUGGAGGGACAGAAAGAAGAUCCCUGCUUAUUGCUUGUUGCUUGUUGCCUUCUGCCUGCCAUGAACUGUUUCUCCUCUGCAAUGCCCCUCUGCCAUGUCACCCUGCCCUAGAGCCAGCCAACUAUGAAUUAAAACCUCUAAAAACUGUGAG
This is a long non-coding RNA of Heterocephalus glaber (naked mole-rat), 880 nucleotides long. NCBI's taxonomy places the organism in Eukaryota, Metazoa, Chordata, Mammalia, Rodentia, Bathyergidae. The record is from Ensembl.